RNAcentral lists this ribosomal RNA (424 nucleotides) under uncultured bacterium. RNAcentral describes it as "bacterial SSU rRNA". It matches the Rfam family "Bacterial small subunit ribosomal RNA", at positions 920 to 1344 of the family's 1533-position model. The record is from RNAcentral.
GACCCCGCACAAGCGGCGGAGCAUGCGGCUUAAUUCGAUGAUACGCGAGGAACCUUACCAGGGCUUAAAUGUAAGUUGCAUAGAUCAGAGAUGGUCUUUUCUUCGGACUACUUACAAGGUGCUGCAUGGUUGUCGUCAGCUCGUGCCGUGAGGUGUCAGGUUAAGUCCUAUAACGAGCGCAACCCCUGUCGUUAGUUACCAGCAAGUAAUGUUGGGUACUCUAGCGAGACUGCCGGUGCAAACCGUGAGGAAGGUGGGGAUGACGUCAAAUCAUCACGGCCCUUACGUCCUGGGCUACACACGUGCUACAAUGGCCGGUACAGAGAGCAGCCACUACGCGAGUAGGAGCGAAUCUUCAAAGCCGGUCUCAGUUCGGAUCGCAGUCUGCAACUCGACUGCGUGAAGCUGGAAUCGCUAGUAAUCG